Long non-coding RNA from Mauremys mutica (yellowpond turtle), 205 nucleotides. RefSeq lists it as uncharacterized. Lineage: Eukaryota; Metazoa; Chordata; Testudines; Geoemydidae. The record is from RefSeq and is a predicted model, not a curated record. The transcript is spliced from 3 exons.
AUGAGCUACGCUAUGUGAAGAGUUCCCUUGAAGGUAACUGGUUUACAGACACACUGAACUGAGGCAGGACAUAAUCAAGGUUACAGGAAUUUACCAGAACCCCAUGUUCAUCAGGCAAUUUUCGGCUCGAAAGAAGAAUUGCUAAAACAGUGAACUAUUCAUGCUCCAACCACAAAGAUGACUAUGCCUAUAUUCUAAGGUAUCA